GUCUAUUGGUUCCUCUGUUUCCAGGGGAGAAGGAAUGAAGAACUCAGGUCUGGGCCGUGGUUUCCUGAUACGAGACUUCAGUCCAAACUUGCGCUUUAGGAGGUGGAACUGUUCUUUGACAUAGUAAUAAAACUCGUAUUCGUAUCUCAUACGUUGGUAGAGGAUCUGUAUUGCUUCUGGAGAGGGGACGGUCUUUUUCACUGUUACAGUCAGAUUGCCAAGUUUCCUAUGUUCUGGGUUUUUGUAGAUGCUGAGGACAUCCUUGAAAUAAUGAGGUAAGAAUCUUUCUAAUAAAAGCAGCACAUCCUCCAACUCCUCCAGAAUCCCCACAAGCAAGAAGUUUUCAUUAACGUUCAGCUUUGCUCUUUCAAGGGCCCAUUCACCAGGUUCCCUGCAUCUUGGAUGCUGUCCACAGAAAUAGGGUAUGAUAUAAAAUAACCUGGGAUUGGAACAUUCAGGGUAGUUUUCAAGGAUACACACAUUAAUGUCCAGAUAUCUUUCCUCCUGCCUCAUGCUGGGGGUACGGAUCAUGUGAUUCUGUUCUCCUCUCCAGUCUCCGAAACGUCGGAAAAAAUAAUUGGAUAGAAACCGAUUGACAGGAUCUCUAAUAAUAUUGAUGUACA
RNAcentral lists this long non-coding RNA (623 nucleotides) under Gallus gallus (chicken). Lineage: Eukaryota; Metazoa; Chordata; Aves; Galliformes; Phasianidae. The record is from RNAcentral.